GGGGAAUCUUCCGCAAUGGGCGAAAGCCUGACGGAGCAAUGCCGCGUGAGUGAUGAAGGAAUUUGUUCCGUAAAGCUCUUUUGUUUAUGACAAAUGUGCAGACUGUGAAUAAUGGUUUGUAAUGACGGUAGUAAACAAAUAAGCCACAGCUAACUAC
This 157-nucleotide ribosomal RNA is filed under the name uncultured bacterium. RNAcentral describes it as "partial 16S ribosomal RNA". It matches the Rfam family "Bacterial small subunit ribosomal RNA", at positions 356 to 504 of the family's 1533-position model. The record is from RNAcentral.